Non-coding RNA from Trichonephila clavata, 751 nucleotides. The record is from the annotation of a GenBank genome assembly. Lineage: Eukaryota; Metazoa; Arthropoda; Arachnida; Araneae; Nephilidae.
ACAGCUCCGAGCAGUGGAUCACUCGGCUCGCGGGUCGAUGAAGAACGCAGCCAGCUGCGAGAUUUGGUGUGAAUUGCAGAACACUCAGAUCACUGAUUAUUCGAACGCACAUUGCGGCUCCCGCUCCUCUGCGGGAGCCUCGCCUGUCUGAGGGUCGCGUGAUGCAUGCAGAGGUUCUUUCCUCGGAAGGUGACCAAACGGCCCCUUCGGAUUCGUCCGUGGGCUCAGAGAACGAUCUCUCCCGGGGAUCGACCGCAAACGUACCCCGGGAGUAAGACAGAUAAAGGGAUAACUAUGAAAACGAGAAGCGACCUCAGAUCAGACGAGAGAACCCGCCGAACUUAAGCAUAUCAGUAAGCGGAGGAAAAGAAAACAACAGUGAUUCCCCCAGUAGCGGCGAGCGAAAAGGGAAGAGCCCAGCGCCGAAUCCCUGCGUCGAGAGGCGCACUCUGGGAAAUGUGGCGUAAGGAGUGCGCGCAGGUCCGCCGCAGGGUUCGAGGUAAGUCCCCUGACAGGGGCUUUUCCCGUGGCGGGUGCCAGGCCCGUGUCCUCGAACCCCUCGGCGGUGCCGGCGCCUCCGGAGAGUCGGGUUGCUCGGGAGUGCAGCCCCAAGGCGGGAGGUAGACUCCUCCAGGCUAAAUACGACCGCGAGACCGAUAGCAAACAAGUACCGUGAGGGAAAGUUGCAAAGAACUUUGAAGAGAGAGUUCAAGAGACGUGAAACUGCUCGGAGGGAAACGGGUGGGCCCUC